UUCAUGUCAAUCUGGGGAAACAGACAAGGUAAGACAUCACUUCAUGUCAAUCUGGGGAAACAGACAAGGUAAGACAUCACUUCAUGACAAUCUGGGGAAACAGACAAGGUAAGACAUCACUUCAUGUCAAUCAGGGGAAACAGACAAGGUGAGACAUCACUUCAUGACAAUCAGGGAAACAGACAAGGUAAGACAUCACUUCAUGACAAUCAGGGGAAACAGACAAGGUAUGACAUCACUUCAUGACAAUCAGGGGAUACAGACAAGGUAAGACAUCACUUCAUGACAAUCUGGGGAAACAGACACGGUAAGACAUCGCUUUGAGAUAAUCAGGGGAAACAGACAAGGUAAGACAUCACUUCAUGUCAAUCUGGGGAAACAGACAAGGUAAGACAUCACUUCAUGUCAAUCUGGGGAAACAGACAAGGUAAGACAUCACUUCAUGACAAUCUGGGGAAACAGACAAGGUAAGACAUCACUU
Haliotis rubra (blacklip abalone) is the source of this 481-nucleotide long non-coding RNA. RefSeq lists it as uncharacterized. The transcript is spliced from 2 exons. The record is from RefSeq and is a predicted model, not a curated record. Lineage: Eukaryota; Metazoa; Mollusca; Gastropoda; Lepetellida; Haliotidae.